AUAAGAGAGCAGGCUGAGCAAGUCAG
RNAcentral lists this non-coding RNA (26 nucleotides) under Mus musculus (house mouse). Lineage: Eukaryota; Metazoa; Chordata; Mammalia; Rodentia; Muridae. The record is from RNAcentral.